AACUAACGCUGGCGGCGUGCCUAACACAUGCAAGUCGUACGAGAAAGUUGGCUUCGGCCGAUGAGUAAAGUGGCGCACGGGUGAGUAACGCGUGGAUAAUCUACCUUUUAGUUUGGAAUAACGUACCGAAGGUGCGCUAAUACCGGAUAAUACUGCACAACUACUGUUGUGUCGUCAAAGAAGGCUUCUGUUUACAUGCUUUUGCUGAAAGAUGAGUCCGCGUACCAUUAGCUAGUUGGUAGGGUAAUGGCCUACCAAGGCUACGAUGGUUAGCUGGUCUGAGAGGAUGAUCAGCCACACUGGAACUGAGACACGGUCCAGACACCUACGGGUGGCUG
This 338-nucleotide ribosomal RNA is filed under the name uncultured Pseudomonadota bacterium. Its description in RNAcentral is "bacterial SSU rRNA". It matches the Rfam family "Bacterial small subunit ribosomal RNA", at positions 29 to 351 of the family's 1533-position model. The record is from RNAcentral. Lineage: Bacteria; Pseudomonadati; Pseudomonadota.